ACACCGGCAGCCCGAGUGGUGGCCACUAUUAUUGGGCCUAAAGCGUCCGUAGCCGGUCCGGUAAGUCCCUGUGGAAAUCCUCAGGCUCAACCUGAGGAAAUGCGGGGAUACUGCCAGACUCGGGGCCGGGAGACGCGGAGGGUACUCCAGGGGUAGCGGUGAAAUGCUGUAAUCCCUGGGGGACCACCAGUGGCGAAGGCGCUCCGCGAGAACGGGCCCGACGGUGAGGGACGAAAGCCAGGGGAGCGAACGGGAUUAGAUACCCCCAGUAGUCC
RNAcentral lists this ribosomal RNA (275 nucleotides) under uncultured bacterium. RNAcentral describes it as "partial 16S ribosomal RNA". It matches the Rfam family "Archaeal small subunit ribosomal RNA", at positions 473 to 747 of the family's 1478-position model. The record is from RNAcentral.